This 468-nucleotide ribosomal RNA is filed under the name uncultured bacterium. RNAcentral's name for it is "partial 16S ribosomal RNA". It matches the Rfam family "Bacterial small subunit ribosomal RNA", at positions 28 to 507 of the family's 1533-position model. The record is from RNAcentral.
GACGAACGCUGGCGGCGUGCUUAACACAUGCAAGUCGAACGGAAAGGCCCUGCUUUUUUGGUGUGCUCGAGUGGCGAACGGGUGAGUAACACGUGAGUAACCUGCCCUUGACUUUGGGAUAACUUCAGGAAACUGGGGCUAAUACCGUAUAGGAGCUCCUGCUGCAUGGUGGGGGUUGGAACGUUUCGGCGGUUGGGGAUGGACUCGCGGCUUAUCAGCUUGUUGGUGGGGUAGUGGCUUACCAAGGCUUUGAAGGGUAGCCGGCCUGAGAGGGUGACCGGCCACAUUGGGACUGAGAUACGGACCAGACUCGUACGGGAGGCAGCAGGGGGGAAUAUUGCACAAUGGGCGGAAGCCUGAUGCAGAAACGCCGCGUGCGGGAUGACGGCCUUCGGGUUGUAAACCGCUUUCGCCUGUGACGAAGCGUGAGUGACGGUAAUGGGUAAAGAAGCACCGGCUAACUACGUG